AAAAGAAUGAGGCAUGACUUCCUAACUCUGUCGAACACCAGAAAAUAUGAAAAAAGAUCUCUCCUUUCAUUUUCUGCUCAAUCAAUUUUCAAAAUUCCCCAUGAAUCUUUUGGAACCAUACAAUAAGCUGGUGGUUUGUAUAACCGUAACUGAUUCUUCUUCUCUCCUCCUAGUUUUUAACAAUUGCCAAGAUAAUUUCUGGGUUCCUCUGUUAAUUUUCGAGGGUUUUCUUCUUCAUUCAGGUUGCUUUGGUAAUUUUACUGGCAAUCAUAGUUUCCCUGCAAAAGACACAUAUAUCAUGGUUCAACCAUGUUGACGGUGCAUGCUGGGGGAGCUAUCAGGAAGUGCUUGAGUUAUUUAGAUAACAAUAUAUUUCAGGAGUUUAGUCUUUCAAAGGCUGCAAAUUUCACUCCGUUACUCAGUCCUCUAGGCUGUCCUAGUCAACCAAGUUUUUCCAAUACCGAAGGCUUGCGCAACUGCUUUCUUCCCAGACAAGGCCAUGGGCAAUUGAAAGGCUGUUCCCUCUCUCAGGACAGUGUUACCAAGAGGUGGCUGUGCCGGUCUUUAGAUCCUGCUUCAUCAGAUGAUGAUUAUCGUUCAUCAACAAAUAUUGCUGUCAGCUUAUUCAGACGAUACAGAAAUGUGAUUGAUCGUGGUGGCACUGAUAAUCUUAAGGAGUUCAUUGAAGCUGGGGUAAAUGCUUAUGCAUUAGGUUGCACUGAUGAAGGUUUGAGGAAAGAGCUGUCCAAUAUGAAAGAAUCUGGAGUUGAAAUAGAAUCAAUGGAAAUUUAUGGCGGACGCACCAGCCUGAGGUCCAAAAUAUUAUACGAGGAAGUUGAUGAGUGCAUUCUUUGGUUGAGCAUUAUAUGUAUCACCAUCUUGUGUACACCACAGCCAACCGUAGUUAGAUGGUCUGCUUCACCUCCAGUCUCUGAAGAUGUAUUACAUCAGUGGAAAGGCUUUUGUGCAAUCAUUGCAAAUGCAUAUUAUGUGAGAGGAAUGGCAUGGCUUCCUGUGAAGACACUUCAAUUAGAGCAGAUGGCAGUGGCAGGACAUGCUGAGGAACCUUCUGUUGUUGCGAGUAGAAUGCGUUUGGUAUUCAGUACCCUAGAGGUGGUUAGUCCGCAGUGGCCUCAGGCAUAGUUCUGCAUUAUUUGAAGGGAGAAGAUCUCGGUUUCUUGUUCUCAGCGACAAGAAAUGCAGAGCGAUUAUAUCUUUGAUAAAAAAAAAACAAGAAAUGGUGGAGUGGGUGACCAUAUCUUCAAGAAAUUCCUUCAAAGUUAUAAGCAAUGGAUCAUUCUAAACAUUGCACAAAUGUCAAAGUCUCUAAUUCUCUAUCCGGAAACACCUAAAAGCGAUAAACUCUUUUCUUUUUUUUUCUUCCUUUUAGUGAAUACUCACUGGUGUUUAGCAUGGAUGAUGCUUCAAGUUACUACUUUAAAUAUUAUAUUAUGGUGUGUAUUAUAUGAAAAGUUAGUAUAAAAUAUAAACUUGAACAUUUCAAAUUUUAUAUUUACGUGCAAUAAAAUAUAUAUAAUAUAAUGAUUGAUUAA
This is an RNA transcript of Spinacia oleracea (spinach), 1553 nucleotides long. RefSeq lists it as uncharacterized. The transcript is spliced from 8 exons. The record is from RefSeq and is a predicted model, not a curated record. Lineage: Eukaryota; Viridiplantae; Streptophyta; Magnoliopsida; Caryophyllales; Amaranthaceae.